Molecule: small nuclear RNA, 107 nt
Filed under: Balaenoptera musculus (blue whale)
Lineage: Eukaryota; Metazoa; Chordata; Mammalia; Artiodactyla; Balaenopteridae
Source: RNAcentral
GUGCCCGCUUCGGCAGCACAUAUACUAAAAUUGGAAUGGUACAGAGAAGGUUGGCAUGGCCCCUGCACAAGGAUGACAUGCAAAUUCGUGAAGCGUUCCAUGUUUUU